Molecule: ribosomal RNA, 237 nt
Filed under: uncultured bacterium
Lineage: Bacteria
Description: partial 16S ribosomal RNA
Rfam family: Bacterial small subunit ribosomal RNA
Source: RNAcentral
CGAACGGGUGAGUAACGCGUGAGGAACCUGCCUCAAAGAGGGGGACAACAGUUGGAAACGACUGCUAAUACCGCAUAAGCCCACGGGUCGGCAUCGAUCUGAGGGAAAAGGAGUGAUCCGCUUUGAGAUGGCCUCGCGUCCGAUUAGCUAGUUGGUGAGGUAACGGCCCACCAAGGCGACGAUCGGUAGCCGGACUGAGAGGUUGAACGGCCACAUUGGGACUGAGACACGGCCCAG